Molecule: ribosomal RNA, 450 nt
Filed under: uncultured bacterium
Lineage: Bacteria
Description: partial 16S ribosomal RNA
Rfam family: Bacterial small subunit ribosomal RNA
Source: RNAcentral
GUGGGGAAUAUUGGACAAUGGGCGAAAGCCUGAUCCAGCCAUGCCGCGUAUGUGAAGAAGGUCUUCGGAUUGUAAAGCACUUUAAGUUGGGAGGAAGGGCAGUAAGUUAAUACCUUGCUGUUUUGACGUUACCGACAGAAUAAGCACCGGCUAACUUCGUGCCAGCAGCCGCGGUAAUACGAAGGGUGCAAGCGUUAAUCGGAAUUACUGGGCGUAAAGCGCGCGUAGGUGGUUUUGUAAGUUGGAGGUGAAAUCCCCGGGCUCAACCUGGGAACUGCCUCCAAAACUGCAUGACUAGAGUACGGUAGAGGGUAGUGGAAUUUCCUGUGUAGCGGUGAAAUGCGUAGAUAUAGGAAGGAACACCAGUGGCGAAGGCGACUACCUGGACUGAUACUGACACUGAGGUGCGAAAGCGUGGGGAGCAAACAGGAUUAGAAACCCCAGUAGUCC